CCGCCCCGGGCCGGGUUGGGGGUCAGGCAGGGCGGGAGGGCUGAGCGGAACCGUCGGAGGGGCGCCCUGUCCUCGCCGACGCUGUGUAACCAGCCGAGCCACCGGCGGGAACGUUGUGCGUUCCUAAGACAUGAAAGAGGCUUCUACAGUUCAGGAGUCUGGCUUGAAACGGUUUUAACGAUGUUGGUAUCUUGGCUUCCCGAUAUUUAUCUAUUUAUUUAUUUUCGUAUCAGCCUGCUAUGCUUCCAAACCUUUUCUAAGAUGAGGUUUUGACUCCAAGAAUAAUCUUCUUUGGUGCCAUGCUGUGGGUUGUGGUCCCACCAGAAUUCCAGAAAUACAGCAAGCCGCCUUCACUGCAUCAUACUUCUGUCUUCACUGUGUCAGUGUAUUUGCUGAAAUGGUUAACUGGAUCCAGAAGUCAUGUGUUCAUAAUAUAUCUAGUAAAGUCCCACCAUACCCUUUCAAGAGCACAC
Molecule: long non-coding RNA, 473 nt
Organism: Heterocephalus glaber (naked mole-rat)
Lineage: Eukaryota; Metazoa; Chordata; Mammalia; Rodentia; Bathyergidae
Source: Ensembl